UUCUUCCUUCCCCUGGCCACCUCUCUGCCCACUUGCUUCCUCAGUACCUUGGUCCAGCUCUUCCUGCAACGGCCCAGGAGCUCAGAGCUCCACGUCUGACCUUCUAGUCAUGACCAGGACCAGGGCAGCACUCCUCCUGUUCACAGCCUUAGCAACUUCUCUAGGUUUCAACUUGGACACAGAGGAGCUGACAGCCUUCCGUGUGGACAGCGCUGGGUUUGGAGACAGCGUGGUCCAGUAUGCCAACUCCUGGGUGGUGGUUGGAGCCCCCCAAAAGAUAACAGCUGCCAACCAAACGGGUGGCCUCUACCAGUGUGUCUACAGCACUGGUGCCUGUGAGCCCAUCAGCCUGCAGGUGCCCCCGGAGGCCGUGAACAUGUCCCUGGGCCUGUCCCUGGCGUCUACCACCAGCCCUUCCCAGCUGCUGGCCUGCGGCCCCACCGUGCACCACGCGUGCGGGAGGAACAUGUACCUCACCGGACUCUGCUUCCUCCUGGGCCCCACCCAGCUCACCCAGAGGCUCCCGGUGUCCAGGCAGGAGUGCCCAAGACAGGAGCAGGACAUUGUGUUCCUGAUUGAUGGCUCAGGCAGCAUUUCCUCCCGCAACUUUGCCACGAUGAUGAACUUCGUGAGAGCUGUGAUAAGCCAGUUCCAGAGACCCAGCACCCAGUUUUCCCUGAUGCAGUUCUCCAACAAAUUCCAAACACACUUCACUUUCGAGGAAUUCAGGCGCAGCUCAAACCCCCUCAGCCUGUUGGCUUCUGUUCACCAGCUGCAAGGGUUUACAUACACGGCCACCGCCAUCCAAAAUGUCGUGCACCAAUUGUUCCAUGCCUCAUAUGGGGCCCGUAGGGAUGCCGCCAAAAUUCUCAUUGUCAUCACUGAUGGGAAGAAAGAAGGCGACAGCCUGGAUUAUAAGGAUGUCAUCCCCAUGGCUGAUGCAGCAGGCAUCAUCCGCUAUGCAAUUGGGGUUGGAUUAGCUUUUCAAAACAGAAAUUCUUGGAAAGAAUUAAAUGACAUUGCAUCGAAGCCCUCCCAGGAACACAUAUUUAAAGUGGAGGACUUUGAUGCUCUGAAAGAUAUUCAAAACCAACUGAAGGAGAAGAUCUUUGCCAUUGAGGGUACGGAGACCACAAGCAGUAGCUCCUUCGAAUUGGAGAUGGCACAGGAGGGCUUCAGCGCUGUGUUCACACCUGAUGGCCCCGUUCUGGGGGCUGUGGGGAGCUUCACCUGGUCUGGAGGUGCCUUCCUGUACCCCCCAAAUAUGAGCCCUACCUUCAUCAACAUGUCUCAGGAGAAUGUGGACAUGAGGGACUCUUACCUGGGUUACUCCACCGAGCUGGCCCUCUGGAAAGGGGUGCAGAGCCUGGUCCUGGGGGCCCCCCGCUACCAGCACACCGGGAAGGCUGUCAUCUUCACCCAGGUGUCCAGGCAAUGGAGGAUGAAGGCCGAAGUCACGGGGACUCAGAUUGGCUCCUACUUCGGGGCCUCCCUCUGCUCCGUGGACGUGGACAGCGAUGGCAGCACCGACCUGGUCCUCAUUGGGGCCCCCCAUUACUACGAGCAGACCCGAGGGGGCCAGGUGUCUGUGUGUCCCUUGCCCAGGGGGUGGAGAAGGUGGUGGUGUGAUGCUGUUCUCUACGGGGAGCAGGGCCACCCCUGGGGUCGCUUUGGGGCGGCUCUGACAGUGCUGGGGGAUGUGAAUGGGGACAAGCUGACGGAUGUGGUCAUCGGGGCCCCAGGAGAGGAGGAGAACCGGGGUGCUGUCUACCUGUUUCACGGAGUCUUGGGACCCAGCAUCAGGCCCUCCCACAGCCAGCGGAUCGCGGGCUCCCAGCUCUCCUCCAGGCUGCAGUAUUUUGGGCAGGCGCUGAGCGGGGGUCAAGACCUCACCCAGGAUGGACUGGUGGACCUGGCUGUGGGGGCCCGAGGCCAGGUGCUCCUGCUCAGGACCAGACCUGUGCUCUGGGUGGGGGUGAGCAUGCAGUUCAUACCUGCCGAGAUCCCCAGGUCUGCGUUUGAGUGUCGGGAGCAGGUGGUCUCUGAGCAGACCCUGGUACAGUCCAACAUCUGCCUUUACAUUGACAAACGUUCUAAGAACCUGCUUGGGAGCCGUGACCUCCAAAGCUCCGUGACCUUGGACCUGGCCCUCGACCCUGGCCGCCUGAGUCCCCGUGCCACCUUCCAGGAAACAAAGAACCGGAGUCUGAGCCGAGUCCGAGUCCUCGGGCUGAAGGCACACUGUGAAAACUUCAACCUGCUGCUCCCGAGCUGCGUGGAGGACUCUGUGACCCCCAUUACCUUGCGUCUGAACUUCACGCUGGUGGGCAAGCCCCUCCCUGCCUUCAGAAACCUGCGGCCUAUGCUGGCCGCCGAUGCUCAGAGAUACUUCACGGCCUCUCUACCCUUUGAGAAGAACUGUGGAGCCGACCAUAUCUGCCAGGACAAUCUCGGCAUCUCCUUCAGCUUCCCAGGCUUGAAGACCCUGCUGGUGGGGAGUAACCUGGAGCUGAACGCAGAAGUGAUGGUGUGGAAUGACGGGGAAGACUCCUACGGAACCACCAUCACCUUCUCCCACCCCGCAGGACUGUCCUACCGCUACGUGGCAGAGGGCCAGAAACAAGGGGAGCUGCGUUCCCUGCACCUGACAUGUGACAGUGCCCCAGUUGGGAGCCAGGGCACCUGGAGCACCAGCUGCAGAAUCAACCACCUCAUCUUCCGUGGCGGCGCCCAGAUCACCUUCUUGGCUACCUUUGACGUCUCCCCCAAGGCUGUCCUGGGAGACCGGCUGCUUCUGACAGCCAAUGUGAGCAGUGAGAACAACACUCCCAGGACCAGCAAGACCACCUUCCAGCUGGAGCUCCCGGUGAAGUAUGCCGUCUACACUGUGGUUAGCAGGUCAGCAGCCACGAACAAUUCACCAAAUACCUCAACUUCUCAGAGUCUGAGGAGAAGGAAAGCCAUGUGGCCAUGCACAGAUACCAGGUCAAUAACCUGGGACAGAGGGACCUGCCUGUCAGCAUCAACUUCUGGGUGCCUGUGGAGCUGAACCAGGAGGCUGUGUGGAUGGAUGUGGAGGUCUCCCACCCUCAGAACCCAUCCCUUCGGUGCUCCUCAGAGAAAAUCGCACCCCCAGCAUCUGACUUCCUGGCGCACAUUCAGAAGAAUCCUGUGCUGGACUGCUCCAUUGCUGGCUGCCUGCGGUUCCGCUGUGACGUCCCCUCCUUCAGCGUCCAGGAGGAGCUGGAUUUCACCCUGAAGGGCAACCUCAGCUUUGGCUGGGUCCGCCAGACAUUGCAGAAGAAGGUGUCGGUCGUGAGUGUGGCUGAAAUUACGUUCGACACAUCCGUGUACUCCCAGCUUCCAGGACAGGAGGCAUUUAUGAGAGCUCAGACGACAACGGUGCUGGAGAAGUACAAGGUCCACAACCCCACCCCCCUCAUCGUAGGCAGCUCCAUUGGGGGUCUGUUGCUGCUGGCACUCAUCACAGCGGUACUGUACAAAGUUGGCUUCUUCAAGCGUCAGUACAAGGAAAUGAUGGAGGAGGCAAAUGGACAAAUUGCCCCAGAAAACGGGACACAGACCCCCAGCCCGCCCAGUGAGAAAUGAUCCCCUCUUUGCCUUGGACUUCUUCUCCCCGGCGAGUUUUCCCCACUUACUUACCCUCACCUGUCAGGCCUGACGGGGAGGAACCACUGCACCACUGAGAGAGGCUGGGAUGAGCCUGCUUCCUGUCUUUGGGAGAAAACGUCUUGCUUGGGAAGGGGCCUUUGUCUUGUCAAGGUUCCAACUGGAAACCCUUAGGACAGGGUCCCUGCUGUGUUCCCCACAGGACUUGACUUGCAAUUUCUACCUAGAAAUACAUGGACAAUACCCCCAGGCCUCAGUCUCCCUUCUCCCGUGAGGCACGAAUGAUCUUUCUUUUCUUUCUUUUUUUUUUUUUUUUUGAGACGGAGUCUCGCUCUGUCACCCAGGCUGGAGUGCAAUGGUGUGAUCUCGGCUCACUGCAACCUCCGCCUCCUGGGUUCAAGUAAUUCUGCUGUCUCAGCCUCCUGAGUAGCUGGGACUACAGGCACACGCCACCUCGCCCGGCCCGAUCUUUCUAAAAUACAGUUCUGAAUAUGCUGCUCAUCCCCACCUGUCUUCAACAGCUCCCCAUUACCCUCAGGACAAUGUCUGAACUCUCCAGCUUUGCGUGAGAAGUCCCCUUCCAUCCCAGAGGGUGGGCUUCAGGGCACACAGCAUGAGAGGCUCUGUGCCCCCAUCACCCUCGUUUCCAGUGAAUUAGUGUCAUGUCAGCAUCAGCUCAGGGCUUCAUCGUGGGGCUCUCAGUUCCGAUUUCCCAGGCUGAAUUGGGAGUGAGAUGCCUGCAUGCUGGGUUCUGCACAGUUGGCCUCCCGCGUUGGGCAACAUUGCUGGCUGGAAGGGAGGAGCGCCCUCUAGGGAGGGACACGGCCCCGGUGCGGCUCCAGCUCACCCAGCCCCAGGGGCAGAAGAGACCCAACCACUUCUAUUUUUUGAGGCUAUGAAUAUAGUACCUGAAAAAAUGCCAAGACAUGAUUAUUUUUUUAAAAAGCGUACUUUAAAUGUUUGUGUUAAUAAAUUAAAACAUGCACAAAAAGAUG
Molecule: RNA transcript, 4625 nt
Organism: Pan troglodytes (chimpanzee)
Lineage: Eukaryota; Metazoa; Chordata; Mammalia; Primates; Hominidae
Gene: ITGAX
Gene name: integrin subunit alpha X
Exons: 30
Source: RefSeq, a predicted model, not a curated record